RNAcentral lists this ribosomal RNA (493 nucleotides) under uncultured bacterium. RNAcentral's name for it is "partial 16S ribosomal RNA". It matches the Rfam family "Bacterial small subunit ribosomal RNA", at positions 30 to 523 of the family's 1533-position model. The record is from RNAcentral.
AUUAAACGCUGGCGGCAUGCCUUACACAUGCAAGUCGAACGGUAACAGGUUAAGCUGACGAGUGGCGAACGGGUGAGUAAUAUAUCGGAACGUGCCCAGUCGUGGGGGAUAACGUAGCGAAAGCUACGCUAAUACCGCAUACGAUCUACGGAUGAAAGCGGGGGAUCGCAAGACCUCGCGCGAUUGGAGCGGCCGAUAUCAGAUUAGGUUGUUGGUGAGGUAAAAGCUCACCAAGCCUGCGAUCUGUAGCUGGCCUGAGAGGACAACCAGCCACACUGGAACUGAGACACGGUCCAGACUCAUACGGGAGGCAGCAGUGGGGAAUUUUGGACAAUGGACGCAAGUCUGAUCCAGCAAUGCCGCGUGCAGGACGAAAGCCUUCGGGUUGUAAACUGCUUUUGUACGGAACGAAACGGUGAGCUCUAAUACAGUUUGCUAAUGACGGUACCGUAAGAAUAAGCACCGGCUAACUACGUGCCAGCCGCCGCAGUAA